GUUGAGGUCUGUCCCGAUGGGGCUUUUCCCAUAGACCUACGUCAUUUGCAACUCCUCAUAGAGUAACUAUGUGGUUUCCAUUACUCACAGAACUACAUGUUAGAUCUGUGGAAAGAAUUACAAGACAGAG
Molecule: small nucleolar RNA, 130 nt
Organism: Camelus dromedarius (Arabian camel)
Lineage: Eukaryota; Metazoa; Chordata; Mammalia; Artiodactyla; Camelidae
Source: Ensembl